Molecule: ribosomal RNA, 787 nt
Filed under: uncultured bacterium
Lineage: Bacteria
Description: bacterial SSU rRNA
Rfam family: Bacterial small subunit ribosomal RNA
Source: RNAcentral
AAUGAACGCUGGCGGCGUGCCUAACACAUGCAAGUCGAACGAGAAACUCUGAGCUUGCUCGGAGGAGUAGAGUGGCGCACGGGUGAGUAACGCGUGGGUAACCUGCCCCUGAAUCGGGGAUAACUCCGUGAAAACGGUGCUAAUACCGGAUAAUGUCCUGGAAACCGCGGUUUGCGGGAUGAAAGGCGACCUAUUCAUGAAAGUUGCCGUUUAGGGAGGGGCUCGCGUACCAUUAGCUUGUUGGUAAGGUAAUGGCUUACCAAGGCGACGAUGGUUAGCUGUCUGAGAGGAUGAUCAGCCACACUGGAACCGGAAUACGGUCCAGACUCCUACGGGAGGCAGCAGUGAGGAAUUUUGCGCAAUGGGGGAAACCCUGACGCAGCAACGCCGCGUGAGUGAAGAAGGCCCUUGGGUCGUAAAGCUCUGUCAAGUGGGAAAAAAGCUUGUCACUGAAUAGGUGAUGAGUCUGAUGGUACCACUAAAGGAAGCACCGGCUAACUCCGUGCCAGCAGCCGCGGUAAUACGGAGGGUGCAAGCGUUGUUCGGAAUUAUUGGGCGUAAGGAGCGUGUAGGCGGUUAGGCAAGUCAGAUGUGAAAGCCCUGGGCUCAACCUAGGAAGUGCAUUUGAAACUGCCGUUCUAGAGUAUGGGAGGGGAGAGUGGAAUUCCCAGUGUAGAGGUGAAAUUCGUAGAUAUUGGGAGGAACACCCGUGGCGAAGGCAACUCUCUGGACCAAUACUGACGCUGAGACGCGAAAGCGUGGGGAGCAAACAGGAUUAGAUACCCUG